AAAUGAAUUGACGGGGACCCGCACAAGCGGUGGAGCAUGUGGUUUAAUUCGAGGCAACGCGAAGAACCUUACCAAGGCUUGACAUCCCGCUGACCGGCACAGAGAUGUGCCUUUCUUUCGGGACAGCGGAGACAGGUGGUGCAUGGUUGUCGUCAGCUCGUGUCGUGAGAUGUUGGGUUAAGUCCCGCAACGAGCGCAACCCCUAUCUUUAGUAGCCAGCGUGUAAAGGCGGGCACACUAGAGAGACUGCCGCGGAAAACACGGAGGAAGGUGGGGAUGAGGUCAAAUCAUCAUGCCCCUUAUGUCUUGGGCUACACACGUGCUACAAUGGCUGCAACAGAGUGAAGCGAACCUGCGAGGGGGAGCAAAACACAAAAAAGCAGUCUCAGUUCGGAUUGCAGGCUGCAACCCGCCUGCAUGAAGUUGGAAUCGCUAGUAAUCGCGAAUCAGCACGUCGCGGUGAAUACGUUCCCGGGUCUUGUACACACCGCCCGU
RNAcentral lists this ribosomal RNA (495 nucleotides) under uncultured bacterium. RNAcentral's name for it is "bacterial SSU rRNA". It matches the Rfam family "Bacterial small subunit ribosomal RNA", at positions 903 to 1397 of the family's 1533-position model. The record is from RNAcentral.